Molecule: ribosomal RNA, 253 nt
Filed under: uncultured bacterium
Lineage: Bacteria
Description: partial 16S ribosomal RNA
Rfam family: Bacterial small subunit ribosomal RNA
Source: RNAcentral
UACGAAGGGGGCUAGCGUUGCUCGGAAUCACUGGGCGUAAAGGGUGCGUAGGCGGGCCUUUAAGUCAGUGGUGAAAGCCGACAGCUUAACUGUCGAAAUGCCAUUGAUACUGGGGGUCUUGAGUACAGUAGAGGUAGGCGGAAUUAAUGGUGUAGCGGUGAAAUGCAUAGAUACCAUUAAGAACACCGAUUGCGAAGGCAGCUUACUAUAGUGUAACUGACGCUGAGGCACGAAAGUGUGGGGAUCAAACAGG